This 440-nucleotide ribosomal RNA is filed under the name uncultured bacterium. RNAcentral's name for it is "partial 16S ribosomal RNA". It matches the Rfam family "Bacterial small subunit ribosomal RNA", at positions 338 to 795 of the family's 1533-position model. The record is from RNAcentral.
CCUACGGGAGGCUGCAGUGGGGAAUAUUGCGCAAUGGGCGCAACCCUGAUCCAGCGACGCCGCGUGAAUGAAGAAGCCCUUCGGGUUGUAAACUUCUGUUGACAGGGAAGAGUAUAACACUGUAUCUGUCGAAUGCCCCACCUCACUACGUGCCCGCAGCCGCGGUGAUACGUAUGGGGCAAGCGUUAUCCGGAUUUACUGGGGGUAAAGGGGGCGUAGACGGCGGUGCAAGACAGAUGUGAAAGCCCGGGGCUCAACCCCGGGACUGCGCUUGAAACUGUGUGGCUGGAGUGCAGGAGAGGCAGACGGAAUUCCUAGUGUAGCGGUGAAAUGCGUAGAUAUUAGGAGGAACACCAGUGGCGAAGGCGGUCUGCUGGACAGCAACUGACGGUGAGGCGCGAAAGCGUGGGGAGCAAACAGGAUUAGAUACCCGAGUAGUC